GAUGAACGCUGGCGGCGUGCCUAAUACAUGCAAGUCGAGCGAACGGACGAGAAGCUUGCUUCUCUGAUGUUAGCGGCGGACGGGUGAGUAACACGUGGAUAACCUACCUAUAAGACUGGGAUAACUUCGGGAAACCGUAGCUAAUACCGGAUAAUAUUUUGAACCGCAGGGUUCAAAAGUGAAAGACGGUCUUGCUGUCACUUAUAGAUGGAUCCGCGCUGCAUUAGCUAGUUGGUACGGUAACGGCUUACCAAGGCAACGAUGCAUAGCCGACCUGAGAGGGUGAUCGGCCACACUGGAACUGAGACACGGUCCAGACUCCUACGGGAGGCAGCAGUAGGGAAUCUUCCGCAAUGGGCGAAAGCCUGACGGAGCAACGCCGCGUGAGUGAUGAAGGUCUUCGGAUCGUAAAACUCUGUUAUUAGGGAAGAACAUAUGUGUAAGUAACUGUGCACAUCUUGACGGUACCUAAUCAGAAAGCCACGGCUAACUACGUG
This 497-nucleotide ribosomal RNA is filed under the name uncultured bacterium. RNAcentral describes it as "partial 16S ribosomal RNA". It matches the Rfam family "Bacterial small subunit ribosomal RNA", at positions 28 to 507 of the family's 1533-position model. The record is from RNAcentral.